GCAAAAUCGGCCAAAGUGUGUUUUGUUGAUGGAACAUUUAGCAUGACACCACGCAUGGAGGAAAGUAAGUGGUAUCAGCUCUUGAUAUUUUCUGUUGAGUAUUCAGCAGUACUUGAAGAUUCAAUUCCAGAUGAGGAUCAUAUGAAUUUUGAUCCUGAUAACCCUCACCUUUGGGGAAUAUCUGUUCCAGCUGUAUGCGCUUUAAUGACAUCGAAAUCCGAGACUCUAUAAAAGCUUGUUUUUUCCAAAAUAAAAGAAGUUUUAGAUUUCUCUCCAGUCACCAUUAUGUCCGAUUUUGAACGAGGACUACAGAAUGCUUUAAAAACAACUUGGAGUGAAAGCUUGGUGAAUGGUUGCAGGUUUCAUUUCGAAAAUGCAAUCACCAAGCAAUUAGCAAUUCUUGGUCUUCAGAAGGAAUACCGCCACCAAAUUCAAGUAAAGAAG
Hydra vulgaris (swiftwater hydra) is the source of this 444-nucleotide non-coding RNA. Lineage: Eukaryota; Metazoa; Cnidaria; Hydrozoa; Anthoathecata; Hydridae. The record is from RefSeq and is a predicted model, not a curated record.